Molecule: transfer RNA, 68 nt
Filed under: Enochrus coarctatus
Lineage: Eukaryota; Metazoa; Arthropoda; Insecta; Coleoptera; Hydrophilidae
Description: tRNA-Leu
Source: RNAcentral
UUGUUACUUUGGCAGAUUAGUGCUUUUAAAUUUAGAAUUUAAUUAUGUAUGUGUAGUACAGGUAAUAC